This 63-nucleotide transfer RNA is filed under the name Cryptocephalus celtibericus. RNAcentral's name for it is "tRNA-Arg". Lineage: Eukaryota; Metazoa; Arthropoda; Insecta; Coleoptera; Chrysomelidae. The record is from RNAcentral.
AAGUAAGAAGCAAAUCUUUGCAACUAGUUUCGACCUAGAAGUUUGACUGUUAGUCCUUACCUA